UUUCCGUAGGUGAACCUGCGGAAGGAUCAUUAUCGAGUUAGGGUCUCUGGCCCGACCUCCAACCCUGUGUCUACUAUACCAUGUUGCUUUGGCGGGCCCGCGUUCGUCGCCGCCGAGGGGUUGACCCCCCUGGGCCAGUGCCCGCCGAGAGCCCCCUCCUAAACUCUUGAACAACCGUGAAUGUCUGAGUAAAAAAAAAUAAAAGCAAAAACUGUUAACAAAGGAGCACUUGGUUUUGGCAUCGAUGAAGAAACCAGCAGAUCGGAAGGACACCCGGCG
Molecule: unclassified non-coding RNA, 279 nt
Filed under: plant metagenome
Description: partial contains small subunit ribosomal RNA, internal transcribed spacer 1, and 5.8S ribosomal RNA
Source: RNAcentral